GUGAAUCAUCGAAUUUUUGAACGCAAAUUGCACUCCCUGGUAUUCCGGGGAGUAUGCCUGUUUGAGGGUCGGCCUAUAAAAAUCGACAUCGUUGCUGUUUCGCGGUAACGUUUGUCGGAAAUUGGGUCAUCUUAAAUCUUUUGGUUUAAGCGACUUAAAAAUUUCUUUUUGAUUCCAUGAACGUUUCUAAGAUUUAUUUCUUUACACGUUUAAGGUAUCGAUUUAUUAGACGUGGCCGUCAUAUCGGAUCGCGUCCAUAAUCUUUCAUUAACUGACCUCAGACAGGUAAGAGUACCCG
This 298-nucleotide unclassified non-coding RNA is filed under the name Glomeraceae sp. RNAcentral's name for it is "partial contains 5.8S ribosomal RNA and internal transcribed spacer 2". The stretch from base 1 to 71 matches the Rfam family "5.8S ribosomal RNA", at positions 84 to 154 of the family's 154-position model. Lineage: Eukaryota; Fungi; Glomeromycota; Glomeromycetes; Glomerales; Glomeraceae. The record is from RNAcentral.